UAUGGUGAGACGCGGCAGACGGCUCAGUAACACGUGGCUAACCUACCCUCAGGACAGGGACAAACCCGGGAAACUGGGGCUAAUACCCGAUAGGCGAGGGCGCCUGGAAUGGUUCUUCACCCAAAGGGCUUUGGAAGCAUGCUUUUCAAAGUCGCCUGGGGAUGGGGCCGCGUCCGAUCAGGUUGUUGGUGAGGUAACGGCUCACCAAGCCUAUAACCGGUACGGGCCGUGAGAGCGGUAGCCCGGAGAUGGGCACUGAGACAAGGGCCCAGGCCCUACGGGGCGCAGCAGUCGCGAAAACUCCGCAAUGCACGAAAGUGUGACGGGGCUACCCCGAGUGCCGUCCGCUGAGGAUGGCUUUUCCUCGGUGUAACUAGCCGGGGGAAUAAGGAGAGGGCAAGACUGGUGUCAGCCGCCGCGGUAAUACCAGCUCUCCGAGUGGUAGGGAUGAUUAUUGGGCCUAAAGCGUCCGUAGCCGGCUUAGCAAGUCUCCUGUUAAAUUCAGCGACCUAAUCGUUGAGCCGCGGGAGAUACUACUAGGCUAGGAGGCGGGAGAGGCCGACGGUACUUCCGGGGUAGGGGUGAAAUCCUAUAAUCCCGGGCGGACCACCAGUGGCGAAGGCUGUCGGCUAGAACGCGCUCGACGGUGAGGGUCGAAAGCUGGGGGAGCGAACCGGAUUAGAUACCCGGGUAGUCCCAGCCGUAAACGAUGCGGG
This 716-nucleotide ribosomal RNA is filed under the name uncultured archaeon. Its description in RNAcentral is "bacterial SSU rRNA". It matches the Rfam family "Archaeal small subunit ribosomal RNA", at positions 67 to 766 of the family's 1478-position model. The record is from RNAcentral.